Molecule: ribosomal RNA, 599 nt
Filed under: Anaplasma phagocytophilum
Lineage: Bacteria; Pseudomonadati; Pseudomonadota; Alphaproteobacteria; Rickettsiales; Anaplasmataceae
Also listed under: 2 other names
Description: bacterial SSU rRNA
Rfam family: Bacterial small subunit ribosomal RNA
Source: RNAcentral
CUCCGUGUUGUAGCUAACGCGUUAAGCACUCCGCCUGGGGACUACGGUCGCAAGACUAAAACUCAAAGGAAUUGACGGGGACCCGCACAAGCGGUGGAGCAUGUGGUUUAAUUCGAUGCAACGCGAAAAACCUUACCACUCCUUGACAUGGAGAUUAGAUCCUUCUUAACGGAAGGGCGCAGUUCGGCUGGAUCUCGCACAGGUGCUGCAUGGCUGUCGUCAGCUCGUGUCGUGAGAUGUUGGGUUAAGUCCCGCAACGAGCGUAACCCUCAUCCUUAGUUGCCAGCGGGUAAUGCCGGGCACUUUAAGGAAACUGCCGGUGGUAAACUGGAGGAAGGUGGGGAUGAUGUCAAGUCAGCACGGCCCUUAUGGGGUGGGCUACACACGUGCUACAAUGGUGACUACAAUAGGUUGCAAUGUCGCAAGGCUGAGCUAAUCCGUAAAAGUCAUCUCAGUUCGGAUUGUCCUCUGCAACUCGAGGGCAUGAAGUCGGAAUCGCUAGUAAUCGUGGAUCAGCAUGCCACGGUGAAUACGUUCUCGGGUCUUGUACACACUGCCCGUCACGCCAUGGGAAUUGGCUUAACUCGAAGCUGGUGCGC